CUGUGAGAUCUUAACCAUGCUCAUUUGGAGACAAAUUUUGGCAGUUUGCCAUCAUUAAAGGAUAAUGUGGGAUCCUAAGAUGUGCACAACCUCUGCCACUCUGUAGGUGUUUGAGAAGUGGUAGCUGAUGGAAAACAUAAUGUGAGUUCAAGCUUAUGUGUAUUGUGGAAUAACAGGAUGAUUUCUCUCUUAUUUUCUCUUCAGGGGAUUCCUGCAUUGGUGUGCAAAAAUGGAAAACUGCCUUCAUCUCUCAUCUGUUUGGAAAGUGCUUCUCUUGCUGGCCAGGAAACCAGGCAGCUGGUGUCCACUGAGCCCCUUCACAUGCUCCAGCUCUUUCAGACAGAUGUUGCUCUUCCAGAAGUCUAACAUUGGGAUUGUUCCUGUAAGUGGUACAUGGAAGACAAGCACAGGCAACCCCUACUAGUUGCAAUCAAAGAAAUCAUGGAUGAUGCUGGUGAGGUAUCUAGAAUAGUAAUUAUAUGCUGUCCUCAGCUGUCUUUCUGGGAUAUAUCCAUCCAUCAGCUUUUACCUUUUUUUCUUAUGAAUUGCUGACUUUAAUGACUAUAUACAAGGAUUUAAUUAAUUAGUUAAGUUUAGCAAAAGAUAGUAGGGCAUUCAGUGGCUUCAUAGGAGUUAAAUGUAAUCUAAUUUUGAUGUAUAUUUUUCCUCUGCCAUUUUUUGCUCUAUAUAUGCCAUCUGAAAUCCUAACUUGAAAAUCAAAGGCAGAACAGAUACAUACUCAUGU
This 745-nucleotide long non-coding RNA is filed under the name Anas platyrhynchos platyrhynchos (common mallard). RNAcentral describes it as "lncRNA (ENSAPLG00000030419.1)". Lineage: Eukaryota; Metazoa; Chordata; Aves; Anseriformes; Anatidae. The record is from RNAcentral.